UGCGUAGGCGGGUUGAUAAGUCAGUGGUGAAAGGCUACCGCUCAACGGUAGAAUUGCCAUUGAUACUGUCAAUCUUGAAUACAGUCGAGGUGGGCGGAAUGUAACGUGUAGCGGUGAAAUGCUUAGAUAUGUUACAGAACACCAAUUGCGAAGGCAGCUUGCUAGACUGUUAUUGACGCUGAGGCACGAAAGCGUGGGUAGCGAACAGGAUUAGAUACCCUGGUAGUCC
This 229-nucleotide ribosomal RNA is filed under the name uncultured bacterium. RNAcentral describes it as "partial 16S ribosomal RNA". It matches the Rfam family "Bacterial small subunit ribosomal RNA", at positions 568 to 796 of the family's 1533-position model. The record is from RNAcentral.